ACAAUUAAUAAUAAUUAUUAACUUAGUUGUGAGGUCGUGUCAUUUCUUUGUGCUUUUUUUUUCUUUUCAACUCACCUUACUUGUUUUGAGUUUGGACGACGUCAAGACAACAGUAACUCACUCACACGUCCCGUAACAACUCGGAAAAUACAGUACAGUAGACACGGUAGACACACUCUUGAAAAGAAAAGAAAAACAAGGAAGACAAAAAAAGAUCCGAAGAAUCAAAGUCAAAGUCAAAGUGAAAAGAGUUGAGCAAAAACAACCCCCUUUUUUGAUUUGAUUUGAUUUGAUUUUGAGUCAAAUAAAUCGAACGUCAUCAUCAAGUCGAACGUCACGUCACGUCAACAACUUCCAAAUCAAAUCCCAAGUCAAAAACGUCGAAUAUUACAACACA
RNAcentral lists this ribosomal RNA (397 nucleotides) under uncultured eukaryote. RNAcentral's name for it is "partial small subunit ribosomal RNA". The record is from RNAcentral.